AAGGAUUCCCUUAGUAACUGCGAGUGAAGAGGGAAAAGCUCAAAUUUAAAAUCUGGCAGUGUUUCACUGUCCGAGUUGUAACCUAGAGAAGUGUAACCUGCACUGGACCGUGUAUAAGUCUCCUGGAAUGGAGCAUCACAGAGGGUGAGAAUCCCGUCUUUGACAUGGACCACCAGUGCAUUGUGGUUGUGCUCUCAACGAGUCGAGUUGUUUGGGAAUGCAGCUCUAAAUGGGUGGUAAAUUCCAUCUAAAGCUAAAUAUUGGCGAGAGACCGAUAGCGAACAAGUACCGUGAGGGAAAGAUGAAAAGAACUUUGGAAAGAGAGUUAAACAGUAUGUGAAAUUGUUGAAAGGGAAACGUUUGAAGUCAGUCGCGUUGGUUGGGGAUCAGCCUGACAUUGUUGGGUUUACUUCCUGGUCGACGGGCCAACAUCAGUUUUGACUGCCAGAAAAAGGCCAAAGGAAUGUGGCACCUUUGGGUGUGUUAUAGCCCUUGGUCGUAUAUGGUGGUUGGGACUGAGGAAAGCAGCGUGCCGAAAGGCCGGGUUUCGACCACGUUCACGCUGAGGAUGUUGGCAUAAUGGCUUUAAGCGACCCGUCUUGAAACACGGACCAAGGAGUCUAACAUGCAUGCGAGUGUUUGGGUGGAAAACCCUUACGCGUAAUGAAAGUGAAAGUUGAGAUCCCUGUCGCGGGGAGCAUCGACGCCCGGACCAGAACUUUUGGGACGGAUCUGCGGUAGAGCACGUAUGUUGGGACCCGAAAGAUGGUGAACUAUGCCUGAAUAGGGUGAAGCCAGAGGAAACUCUGGUGGAGGCUCGUAGCGAUUCUGACGUGCAAAUCGAUCGUCAAAUUUGGGUAUAGGGGCGAAAGACUAAUCGAACCA
This 885-nucleotide ribosomal RNA is filed under the name Amanita rubescens. Its description in RNAcentral is "eukaryotic LSU rRNA". It matches the Rfam family "Eukaryotic large subunit ribosomal RNA", at positions 70 to 942 of the family's 3401-position model. Lineage: Eukaryota; Fungi; Basidiomycota; Agaricomycetes; Agaricales; Amanitaceae. The record is from RNAcentral.